This 472-nucleotide ribosomal RNA is filed under the name uncultured bacterium. Its description in RNAcentral is "partial 16S ribosomal RNA". It matches the Rfam family "Bacterial small subunit ribosomal RNA", at positions 28 to 507 of the family's 1533-position model. The record is from RNAcentral.
GACGAACGCUGGCGGCGUGCUUAACACAUGCAAGUCGAACGCUGAAGCUUGGUGCUUGCACUGGGUGGAUGAGUGGCGAACGGGUGAGUAAUACGUGAGUAACCUGCCCUUGACUCUGGGAUAAGCCUGGGAAACUGGGUCUAAUACUGGAUACGACAUGUCACCGCAUGGUGGUGUGUGGAAAGGGUUUUACUGGUUUUGGAUGGGCUCACGGCCUAUCAGCUUGUUGGUGGGGUAAUGGCUCACCAAGGCGACGACGGGUAGCCGGCCUGAGAGGGUGACCGGCCACACUGGGACUGAGGCACGGCCCAGACUCCUACGGGAGGCAGCAGUGGGGAAUAUUGCACAAUGGGCGGAAGCCUGAUGCAGCGACGCCGCGUGAGGGAUGACGGCCUUCGGGUUGUAAACCUCUUUCAGCACGGAGGAAGCGAAAGUGACGGUACGUGCAGAAGAAGCGCCGGCUAACUACGUG